UUGGUCCCACUUUGCAGGAUCAGAUGGAUAGCUUGUCAAUACCCUUACCGGGUCUAGAGGCUCCGUCAAAAUGAUAUUGGGCUCACUUUUUCUGGCCGGCUGCUGUUCUUCCAUCAUUUUGUCAUUCUGUGACGGCGCUGAUGUUGACGGUGCCACAGCGUCUUCCGCCGCGUUCACAGCUGUCGGACGGCUGCCCCACAGAAACUUCUGUAAAGCCCCCCGCUGUUUCUUCUUUUGUUCCUCUUCAUUUUUUUUCUUUUUACGUUUUGCCGCACCCGAAAGCAUCUUGAAUGUUAGCCUACUCAAGAAAC
This is a long non-coding RNA of Gadus macrocephalus (Pacific cod), 311 nucleotides long. RefSeq lists it as uncharacterized. The record is from RefSeq and is a predicted model, not a curated record. The transcript has 2 exons. Lineage: Eukaryota; Metazoa; Chordata; Actinopteri; Gadiformes; Gadidae.